Cavia porcellus (domestic guinea pig) is the source of this 768-nucleotide long non-coding RNA. RefSeq lists it as uncharacterized. The record is from RefSeq and is a predicted model, not a curated record. NCBI's taxonomy places the organism in Eukaryota, Metazoa, Chordata, Mammalia, Rodentia, Caviidae. The transcript is spliced from 5 exons.
GUGAACUGUUUUCUUUUAACAGGUCUCGGCUUUUUCAUCCGUAUAUGGUAGCACGCUGUGAUGUGAGAUUUUUCUGUCUUUGGGAAGGGAAUUAAUACAGUUUUGGUGGUUUGGGAGAACAGGCGAGCGUGCUGUCAGAUUUCUGAGGUGGCGCACUGUGACGGGCACGUCCCCUCUUUCCUCGCACCGUGCUGCCUGUGUCCAGGACUUUGCUCAGGUUUACUCCCUUAUCAUGACGGAGCACAUCCUCUCCUAGCUUUUUGAGAAAUAAUUCCUGAGAAGUAAGUUUCUUGAGGCAUAGACAGGGUUAAUUGGGAAUGUCACAGGAUUAUGCAGUAAGGAAGGACCUGCUCAUUUUGUUUGGGAUUCCACAUGUUCCCGUCUUGGGCGUUUUCUUUUCGGUGAGUCCACUUCGGCCCGGUGGACUGUCGUCUCUACCUCCAGGUUUUGAGCCCCUGUGGUCCAGAGGCUCAUGUGAAUUCGCCUGAGAACACAGAGCAGAGCUGCCGUGGACAGCUUGGAGUUGUCUAAAGAUUGAAGACAAGAACCAAAGUCAUGAGCUUACAAGCUAUCAAACUUGAAAGAUGUAUGGAGGUGAAGUCCCACUGCCAAACCGCCCCACCAAACCUUUUCAAAGUGAGUUUUCUUUCCAACAUGAAAAAGGACCGUUUAUGCUACACAUGCAUAAAAUUGUCAGCUCUGGCUUGUUCGUGACAGUAUGUUUUUUGUACCUGCCCACUCCAACGUAGUAGACAGGAUCGUCUUCCA